Molecule: long non-coding RNA, 364 nt
Filed under: Rattus norvegicus (Norway rat)
Lineage: Eukaryota; Metazoa; Chordata; Mammalia; Rodentia; Muridae
Description: long non-coding RNA NONRATT021268
Source: RNAcentral
UAUUGGUCAGCUGCAACUUCGAGUGCUCAAGGAAGGGGAUAAGGAGCUAGACCCAAAUGAAGACAGCUGUGUUGUUUGUUUCGAUAUAUACAAAGCCCAAGAUGUAAUACGUAUUUUAACUUGCAAGCAUUUUUUCCACAAGACGUGCAUUGAUCCGUGGCUUUUAGCCCACAGGACGUGCCCCAUGUGCAAGUGUGACAUUCUGAGAUCUUAAGAAGCCCAGAGAUCUUUCCACAGAUUAAAAUUAGGCGGAUUUGCUCACUGUGCCGUCCAUCCAGAGAAGACAUGACCCUUAGUUCCUCUGUCCUGCCACGGAAGAUGAAAUUUGUGUGCUUUGAAAAUAAAGCUACCUAUCACGUCCGUG